AAGGGGAGACCUAAUUCAGGUAAAAGACGAAAAAAAAGUAGUCGCUACCAAGAAUCAAUCCCAAAAGGUCGGAGCGAGGCGAAAUUGGCUUUCAAACUAGGUUCUGGGUUCAAACAAGACCUGAAUCAGGAACAAGGGCUAUUAGCUCAGGUGGUUAGAGCGCACCCCUGAUAAGGGUGAGGUCCCUGGUUCGAGUCCAGGAUGGCCCACCUGCACAGGUGGCAAAAACAAGAGAAGCGAGGAAUCAGCACCUUAUCUUACUUAUAUAGUAAGAGAGAAUGCUGGCUCUGAGUAAAGAGUCCAGAGGAACCUUGAAAACUGCAUAGAGCUAGGUGAAAAAGCCAAAAAAGAAGACCGCAAG
Molecule: transfer RNA, 361 nt
Filed under: uncultured Microcystis sp.
Lineage: Bacteria; Bacillati; Cyanobacteriota; Cyanophyceae; Chroococcales; Microcystaceae
Description: partial 16S-23S ribosomal RNA intergenic spacer
Rfam family: tRNA (bases 136-209)
Source: RNAcentral